Molecule: long non-coding RNA, 918 nt
Organism: Mastomys coucha (southern multimammate mouse)
Lineage: Eukaryota; Metazoa; Chordata; Mammalia; Rodentia; Muridae
Exons: 2
Source: RefSeq, a predicted model, not a curated record
UCUGUGCACUUCUCCUGAGGAACAGAAUGCUCCGUUGUAGGCUACAUGCAUGUUCUACAUGAUUCAUUACUAUCAAAAGGUUCUGUAAGAGAGGUUUAACCAAAGAGGCACAACGGAGCCUGAAUGUGUGCCACCCUACAUCACAGACUGAAUAAAAACAUAAAUGGGAGAAAGCAAACUGAGAACCAGAAUCUCUGUCUCCUGACUACAGAGGCCAUGUGACCAGCCAAAUCCUGCUGCAGCCACGCUUUCCCACCAGGAUGGAUGGAACAGCCUCAAACCACAUGGAUCCAAACAAACUCUUCCUUCAAGCGGCUUUUCGUCAUGAGUGUGUCAUAAUGAUGAUGAAGUCGCCGAAUCUUUUCUCCCUCACCCUCCACCCUUUCCUCGCUUCCUUUCCUGUCUCUGUCCUUUCCCUCUUUCUCCCCCUCCCUCUUCCCCCCUCCCUCUUUCCUUGCCUGCUUCCUUUUUUCUUUCCUCUCUUCCUUUCCCGGCAGUUGAAAGAUAAUGUGUGGAUUUCCAAAGGAACCAGGCUCAGCUACCUAGUAGGAUGCUAUUUCUAAGCAAAGUCCCUUGAGCAUGUGAAAUGCAGCCUCCCAGAGGGAUCCAGGCUGCUCUAUCCAGUAGCUGUUUCCCUGGCUUCCCCUUUCCAGAGAGGAAAUGGCAGGCGUGUUUCUGCUUUGCUCAGGACCAGGGAUUAUGGAGUUUAAACUCUCUCCUCCAAGCCACAUUCAAGUUUUUGACUUAAAAGGGAAAUGUUUCAUUUUCGGCCAAAUGUAUCCCCCUCUAUCCCCCUCGCUGGAAGGAGAACAAAGCAAUUCAAAUCAGAAAACACAGGGAACUCCCUGCACACUGUCCACAGGGACCAGGCUCCCAACUGGAUCCCACGGAAUUUGAUUGAAGUGCAACUGAACCCUC